GAGAACAGCUAGUGACUUGGGAGCUAGAGGAGUCACCCAGUGAGAACAGCUAUGACUUGGGAGCUAGAGGAGUCACCCAGUGAGAACAGCAGUGACUUGGGAGCUAGAGGAGUCACCCAGUGAGAA
Molecule: long non-coding RNA, 126 nt
Organism: Erinaceus europaeus (western European hedgehog)
Lineage: Eukaryota; Metazoa; Chordata; Mammalia; Eulipotyphla; Erinaceidae
Exons: 2
Source: RefSeq, a predicted model, not a curated record